GCAUAAGCUAAUUAAGGGCGUAUGGGGAAUGCCUAGGCUCUCAGAGGCGAAGAAGGACGUGAUAAGCUGCGAAAAGCUGCGGGGAUUGGCACAUACAAAUUGAUCCGCAGAUAUCCGAAUGGGGCAACCCGGCAUGUUGAAGACAUGUCAUCCUUUAUAGGAGGCAAACCCGGAGAACUGAAACAUCUAAGUACCCGGAGGAGAAGAAAACAAUAGUGAUUCCGUUAGUAGUGGCGAGCGAACGCGGACCAGCCCAAACCUGUUUUGUUACGGCAAGGCAGGGGUUAUAGGACUACAAUAGAGAUUAUGUAAUGAAUUAGAAUCCUUUGGAAAGAGGAGCCAUAGACAGUGAUAGCCUGGUACAAGUAAAGAUCAUAAUUUUAGUAGUAUCCUGAGUAGCGCGGGGCACGUGUAACCCUGUGUGAAUUAGUGGGGACCAUCCCAUAAGGCUAAAUACUCCUGAGAGACCGAUAGUGAACCAGUACCGUGAGGGAAAGGUGAAAAGAACCCUGAAUAAGGGAGUGAAAUAGAUCCUGAAACCAUACGCUUACAAGCGGUCGGAGGUCCAUUGGACUGACGGCGUGCCUUUUGCAUAAUGAGCCUACGAGUUACUUUUACUAGCGAGGUUAAGAUUUUAAGGAUCGGAGCCGUAGCGAAAGCGAGUCUGAAUAGGGCGUUAUAGUUAGUAGUAGUAGACGCGAAACCGUGUGAUCUACCCUUGGGCAGGUUGAAGCUUUGUUAACCCAAAGUGGAGGACCGAACCCGUUGACGUUGAAAAGUCUUGGGAUGACCUGAGGGUAGGGGUGAAAGGCCAAUCAAACUCG
This 824-nucleotide ribosomal RNA is filed under the name Aquimarina celericrescens. Its description in RNAcentral is "partial 23S ribosomal RNA". It matches the Rfam family "Bacterial large subunit ribosomal RNA", at positions 1 to 841 of the family's 2925-position model. The record is from RNAcentral. Lineage: Bacteria; Pseudomonadati; Bacteroidota; Flavobacteriia; Flavobacteriales; Flavobacteriaceae.